ACCAGACUCCUACGGGAGGCAGCAGUGGGGAAUAUUGCACAAUGGGGGAAACCCUGAUGCAGCAACGCCGCGUGAGUGAAGAAGUAUUUCGGUAUGUAAAGCUCUAUCAGCAGGGAAGAAAAUGACGGUACCUGAGUAAGAAGCCCCGGCUAACUACGUGCCAGCAGCCGCGGUAAUACGUAGGGGGCAAGCGUUAUCCGGAUUUACUGGGUGUAAAGGGAGCGUAGACGGCGAUACAAGUCUGAAGUGAAAGCCCGGGGCUCAACCCCGGGACUGCUUUGGAAACUGUGUUGCUGGAGUGCUGGAGAGGCAGGCGGAAUUUCUAGUGUAGCGGUGAAAUGCGUAGAUAUCAGGAGGAACACCGGCGGCGAAGGCGGCCUGCUGGACCGAAACUGACGUUGAGGCUCGAAAGCGUGGGGAGCAAACAGGAUUAGAUACCCCUGUA
RNAcentral lists this ribosomal RNA (445 nucleotides) under uncultured bacterium. RNAcentral describes it as "bacterial SSU rRNA". It matches the Rfam family "Bacterial small subunit ribosomal RNA", at positions 330 to 792 of the family's 1533-position model. The record is from RNAcentral.